CAGUCGCCACGGGAAUACGUAGGGUGCAAGCGUUAAUCGGAAUUACUGGGCGUAAAGCGUGCGCAGGCGGUUAUAUAAGACAGAUGUGAAAUCCCCGGGCUCAACCUGGGAACUGCAUUUGUGACUGUAUAGCUAGAGUACGGCAGAGGGGGAUGGAAUUCCGCGUGUAGCAGUGAAAUGCGUAGAUAUGCGGAGGAACACCGAUGGUGAAGGCAAUCCCCUGGGCCUGUACUGACGCUCAUGCACGAAAGCGUGGGGAGCAAACAGGAUUAGAUACCCCCGUAGUCCCUGUCUCUUAUAC
This 301-nucleotide ribosomal RNA is filed under the name uncultured bacterium. RNAcentral's name for it is "partial 16S ribosomal RNA". It matches the Rfam family "Bacterial small subunit ribosomal RNA", at positions 509 to 807 of the family's 1533-position model. The record is from RNAcentral.